Molecule: ribosomal RNA, 408 nt
Filed under: uncultured bacterium
Lineage: Bacteria
Description: partial 16S ribosomal RNA
Rfam family: Bacterial small subunit ribosomal RNA
Source: RNAcentral
AGUGAACGCUGGCGGCGUGCCUAAUACAUGCAAGUCGAACGAAGUGGCGCACGGGUGAGUAAUAUAUAGUUAAUCUGCCCUACACAGAGGAACAACAGUUGCUAACAACUGCUACUACCUCAUAGUGUAGGAUGAGACUAUAUCGUAUCAGCUAGUUGGUAAGGUAAUGGCUUACCAAGGCUAUGACGCGUAACUGGUCGUAGAGGAUGAUCAGUAAAAUUGGAACUGAGGCACGGUCCAAACUCCUACGGGAGGCAGCAGUAAGGAAUAUCGCGCAAUGGGGGAAACCCUGACGCAGCAACGCCGCGUGGAGGAUGACACUUUUCGGAGAGGAAGCUCCGUUUAUCAGGAAAGCGUUACCCGAUGAAUAAGCACCGGCUAACUCCGUGCCAGCAGCCGCGGUAAUAC